CAAUAUUUUCAUAAAUCUUGAUUUUUCCACUUUAAUCUCUGGAUUCAAUGGUGGUAUUACCUUAGAGGUAUCAUUUUUUAUUUUUUGUUCUGUUAAGUGUUAUUUCCUAGUCUCUAUUGCGUUUUGUUCAUCUAAUUAGACUACAUUUGUUGAUGGGUUCCUCUUCAAUGGAAUCAAAUCAAGAAGACCGGUUACUUUAUGAAAGGGGUUUUUUGAUUGAUUUUGCUUCAAAAUCCUCUAAUUUUUACUAAUUGGGGUGUGAUUGGGUUCUUUACUGUGGAAGCAUUACAUGGACAAAACACUAUAAUCAGGUUAUGAUUGAUUCUAUUUUUUUUAAUUGUUGUGUGAUUUGUUGAUUGAUUCCUUUUAACGAAUCGGUUCAAGCCAAGCUUUUCAAAACCCUAAUGGUUUAAUUAUUGUACAGAACCAAUAUAAGUGGUUUUGGCUUUUAUGUAUUUAGGGGGUUUUAUGAUUUGGGGGAUUUCGAUGAUUUUGUUGUUUCUUCAAUGGGUUCUAUUUCUGACUGAUUUGGGUUUCAGUCAGAACUAGCUCUUGCCGCUUUUAUAAAUGCUUGUUCCUCCUCCAAUAAAAGACACUGGUGGCAAGUGAGAGCAUAUCAAACAGAGUUGUAUAGGGUAGAGAAAGAAUAUGGGAACUGAAUCGGUUGAAGCGGUUUACAAGACAGAAGAAGUGAAAGAAUAUGUGCAAAAUGGUUAGCAAUACCGUAACAGGGUUCCUUCUUGUUUCUUUUGCUGCUGCUGCUUGUAGCUUCCAGAUAUGACUGUUGGUGCACAAGCGACCAAAUCAUUGCUUGGGCAGUUAGUAAUUCAACCUCUGGAGAUGAAGCAAGUGGUGGUAAAACUCUAUAAGGUGAAAAUCUAUUUUGUACUGUGUUGGCAAGUUUCAGAGAGAAUAAAGUGAUUCAGUGGUUUCAUCAUGCUUUUUGCAAACCAUGUUCCGGAAACAGGUGAUUAAGUGAAAGCACAAUAAUAGGUUUUGCGGUGUUUCUACGUUUGAGGCUACAUCAGCUCGAGGAAGAAAGCGUAGUACUAGGUUUCAUAAGGUUGGAAGCUUGAAACUGAAAAAUUAGGGUGUAGGCAAUAAUGAUACAGUACGAGAUGUCUAGAUUCUUAAUGGGAUGUUGUGAUAAGUAGUCACUCCUGUCUCCUGGAUUUUGUAUGACUCCUGACUUUUUUACUGAAUGGGGAGCUUUCCAUUUCAGUUCUGUCUUUUUCUGUUUUUCGGGUCUAUGGUGAGCCGUUUGGUGGUUGCAUGAUUCAAGGUUUGGAGAAAAGUGCCAAAUUAUUAAGGGAGAGAGGCCUGAAGUCUUCACAGAGGAUGUCGGAAUACACGUAUGUAUGUCUACAUUGGACUUUUCCUGUGUGGUGCCUGUUUUAAGUAGAUCUUUCCACUGGAUACUGUGUCAUUUCCAGGAAACUCUUAAUUGCCAAGGAACACUGCAUCUCCCCAUAGUUGCAACAAUGGCGGAAGUAGAAUCACAUUCUAGCCAAAACGUGGAAGGGAUUGGAGAGGCUUAUGAUGAAGACAUAACUUUUGCAAGAGGGCUUUGAUACAUUUGAAAGGGGCCAAAAUGAUCCUGAUGGUCUUGCUUGCUUUUGGAGAUUAGGAAUUGAUGAUGCCGAGGAGAAGACAAGGAUGUUAAAGGAAGUGAGAAGUGGUUGGUGCUGAGAGUGAUGCUCAGGGGUGAUGAACACUAUGAGUCUCUCCUCCCUCAUAAGAAGGCUCUUUUUGAUAUUUACAGCUAGUGCAUAUUUGGAGACAACUUUUGCUAGUUGCCUCCAUAUUUGGAGACAACUUGAACUUAGUUGACUUCUGUCCUUUUAUUGGAGACAACUUGUGCUAGUUGCCUCCACUUUCAAAACAACUUGAGCUAGUUGCCUCAGAUUUUAGAUAACUUCGGCAAGUUGACUUUACAUGGUGGUGAUGGUGGUAGUGACGGCGGCGAUGGUUGUUGGCGGUGGUGGAUGAAAGUGGUUGUGACAACAGCGGUGGAGAUUCACUCAUUUGUAUAUAAUUUUUCUUUUUGGAGGCAACUUUUGCUAGUUGCCUCCAUAUUUGGAGACAACUUUUGCUAGAUAUGGAGAUAAUUUGGGUUGGUUGCUUUCACUUUCGAAGACAACUUGAGCUAGUUGCCUUAGAUUCGGAGACAACUUAACUUAGUUGACUUCUACCAUGUUUAUUGGAGACAACUUAUGCUAGUUGCCUCCACUUUCAAAACAACUUGAGCUAGUUGUCUCAGAUUUGGAGACAACUUCAGCAAGUUGACUUCACAUGGUGGUGCUGGUGGCGGUGACGGAGCCGAUGGUUGUUGGCGGUGGUGGAUGAAAGUGGUGGUGACAACGACGGUGGUUGGUAAGAGGAA
Long non-coding RNA from Papaver somniferum (opium poppy), 2383 nucleotides. RefSeq lists it as uncharacterized. The transcript is spliced from 5 exons. Lineage: Eukaryota; Viridiplantae; Streptophyta; Magnoliopsida; Ranunculales; Papaveraceae. The record is from RefSeq and is a predicted model, not a curated record.